UACGUAGGGUGCAAGCGUUGUCCGGAAUUAUUGGGCGUAAAGAGCUCGUAGGCGGUCUGUUACGUCCGCUGUGAAAACCCAGGGCUUAACCCUGGGCUUGCAGUGGAUACGGGUAGACUAGAGGCAGGUAGGGGAGAAUGGAAUUCCCGGUGUAGCGGUGAAAUGCGCAGAUAUCGGGAGGAACACCUGUGGCGAAAGCGGCGCACUGGACCACAUCUGACGCUGAGGCGCGAAAGCUAGGGGAGCAAACAGG
RNAcentral lists this ribosomal RNA (253 nucleotides) under uncultured bacterium. RNAcentral describes it as "partial 16S ribosomal RNA". It matches the Rfam family "Bacterial small subunit ribosomal RNA", at positions 524 to 776 of the family's 1533-position model. The record is from RNAcentral.